RNAcentral lists this non-coding RNA (127 nucleotides) under Novosphingobium sp. Leaf2. Its description in RNAcentral is "TPP riboswitch aptamer (THI element)". It matches the Rfam family "TPP riboswitch aptamer (THI element)". From Rfam's summary of the family: Vitamin B(1) in its active form thiamin pyrophosphate (TPP) is an essential coenzyme that is synthesised by coupling of pyrimidine and thiazole moieties in bacteria. The record is from Rfam by way of RNAcentral. RNAcentral also lists the same sequence under 1 other name. Lineage: Bacteria; Pseudomonadati; Pseudomonadota; Alphaproteobacteria; Sphingomonadales; Sphingomonadaceae.
CCGUGUACCCCGGGGAGCCAGCAGCGUCCUUUCACGGAUUCUGGGCUGAGAGGUGUGGGUAUGCUCCACACGACCCGUCGAACCUGAACCCGUUAAUACGGGCGGAGGGAGUGGAGGCUGCGCCAGG